RNAcentral lists this ribosomal RNA (2992 nucleotides) under Salmonella enterica subsp. enterica serovar Typhimurium. RNAcentral's name for it is "23S ribosomal RNA". It matches the Rfam family "Bacterial large subunit ribosomal RNA". Lineage: Bacteria; Pseudomonadati; Pseudomonadota; Gammaproteobacteria; Enterobacterales; Enterobacteriaceae. The record is from RNAcentral.
GGUUAAGCGACUAAGCGUACACGGUGGAUGCCCUGGCAGUCAGAGGCGAUGAAGGGCGUGCUAAUCUGCGAUAAGCGCCGGUAAGGUGAUAUGAACCGUUAUAACCGGCGAUACCCGAAUGGGGAAACCCAGUGUGAUUCGUCACACUAUCAUUAACUGAAUCCAUAGGUUAAUGAGGCGAACCGGGGGAACUGAAACAUCUAAGUACCCCGAGGAAAAGAAAUCAACCGAGAUUCCCCCAGUAGCGGCGAGCGAACGGGGAGGAGCCCAGAGCCUGAAUCAGCAUGUGUGUUAGUGGAAGCGUCUGGAAAGGCGCGCGAUACAGGGUGACAGCCCCGUACACAAAAGCGCAUGUGCUGUGAGCUCGAUGAGUAGGGCGGGACACGUGGUAUCCUGUCUGAAUAUGGGGGGACCAUCCUCCAAGGCUAAAUACUCCUGACUGACCGAUAGUGAACCAGUACCGUGAGGGAAAGGCGAAAAGAACCCCGGCGAGGGGAGUGAAAAAGAACCUGAAACCGUGUACGUACAAGCAGUGGGAGCACAGGUUUACCUGUGUGACUGCGUACCUUUUGUAUAAUGGGUCAGCGACUUAUAUUCUGUAGCAAGGUUAACCGUAUAGGGGAGCCGGAGGGAAACCGAGUCUUAAUUGGGCGUUAAGUUGCAGGGUAUAGACCCGAAACCCGGUGAUCUAGCCAUGGGCAGGUUGAAGGUUGGGUAACACUAACUGGAGGACCGAACCGACUAAUGUUGAAAAAUUAGCGGAUGACCUGUGGCUGGGGGUGAAAGGCCAAUCAAACCGGGAGAUAGCUGGUUCUCCCCGAAAGCUAUUUAGGUAGCGCCUCGUGAAUUCAUCUCCGGGGGUAGAGCACUGUUUCGGCUAGGGGGCCAUCCCGGCUUACCAACCCGAUGCAAACUGCGAAUACCGGAGAAUGUUAUCACGGGAGACACACGGCGGGUGCUAACGUCCGUCGUGAAGAGGGAAACAACCCAGACCGCCAGCUAAGGUCCCAAAGUCAUGGUUAAGUGGGAAACGAUGUGGGAAGGCCCAGACAGCCAGGAUGUUGGCUUAGAAGCAGCCAUCAUUUAAAGAAAGCGUAAUAGCUCACUGGUCGAGUCGGCCUGCGCGGAAGAUGUAACGGGGCUAAACCAUGCACCGAAGCUGCGGCAGCGAACGUAUCACCCAAGACAACUUUACGGAGUUGACGAUUGACGGAGCGAAGCGACGUCAAAGCGUUCAUUAAAGUCGAGUUGGCUUAGGGAUACGUUCGUUGGGUAGGGGAGCGUUCUGUAAGCCUGUGAAGGUGUGUCGUGAGGCAUGCUGGAGGUAUCAGAAGUGCGAAUGCUGACAUAAGUAACGAUAAAGCGGGUGAAAAGCCCGCUCGCCGGAAGACCAAGGGUUCCUGUCCAACGUUAAUCGGGGCAGGGUGAGUCGACCCCUAAGGCGAGGCCGAAAGGCGUAGUCGAUGGGAAACGGGUUAAUAUUCCCGUACUUGGUGUUACUGCGAAGGGGGGACGGAGAAGGCUAUGUUGGCCGGGCGACGGUUGUCCCGGUUUAAGCGUGUAGGUGUGUGUUCCAGGUAAAUCCGGUUCACUUUAACACUGAGGCGUGACGACGAGGCACUACGGUGCUGAAGCAACAAAUGCCCUGCUUCCAGGAAAAGCCUCUAAGCAUCAGGUAACAUCAAAUCGUACCCCAAACCGACACAGGUGGUCAGGUAGAGAAUACCAAGGCGCUUGAGAGAACUCGGGUGAAGGAACUAGGCAAAAUGGUGCCGUAACUUCGGGAGAAGGCACGCUGACACGUAGGUGAAGUGAUUUACUCACGGAGCUGAAGUCAGUCGAAGAUACCAGCUGGCUGCAACUGUUUAUUAAAAACACAGCACUGUGCAAACACGAAAGUGGACGUAUACGGUGUGACGCCUGCCCGGUGCCGGAAGGUUAAUUGAUGGGGUCAGCGCAAGCGAAGCUCCUGAUCGAAGCCCCGGUAAACGGCGGCCGUAACUAUAACGGUCCUAAGGUAGCGAAAUUCCUUGUCGGGUAAGUUCCGACCUGCACGAAUGGCGUAAUGAUGGCCAGGCUGUCUCCACCCGAGACUCAGUGAAAUUGAACUCGCUGUGAAGAUGCAGUGUACCCGCGGCAAGACGGAAAGACCCCGUGAACCUUUACUAUAGCUUGACACUGAACAUUGAGCCUUGAUGUGUAGGAUAGGUGGGAGGCUUUGAAGCGUGGACGCCAGUCUGCGUGGAGCCGACCUUGAAAUACCACCCUUUAAUGUUUGAUGUUCUAACGUGGACCCGUAAUCCGGGUUGCGGACAGUGUCUGGUGGGUAGUUUGACUGGGGCGGUCUCCUCCUAAAGAGUAACGGAGGAGCACGAAGGUUGGCUAAUCCUGGUCGGACAUCAGGAGGUUAGUGCAAUGGCAUAAGCCAGCUUGACUGCGAGCGUGACGGCGCGAGCAGGUGCGAAAGCAGGUCAUAGUGAUCCGGUGGUUCUGAAUGGAAGGGCCAUCGCUCAACGGAUAAAAGGUACUCCGGGGAUAACAGGCUGAUACCGCCCAAGAGUUCAUAUCGACGGCGGUGUUUGGCACCUCGAUGUCGGCUCAUCACAUCCUGGGGCUGAAGUAGGUCCCAAGGGUAUGGCUGUUCGCCAUUUAAAGUGGUACGCGAGCUGGGUUUAGAACGUCGUGAGACAGUUCGGUCCCUAUCUGCCGUGGGCGCUGGAGAACUGAGGGGGGCUGCUCCUAGUACGAGAGGACCGGAGUGGACGCAUCACUGGUGUUCGGGUUGUCAUGCCAAUGGCACUGCCCGGUAGCUAAAUGCGGAAGAGAUAAGUGCUGAAAGCAUCUAAGCACGAAACUUGCCCCGAGAUGAGUUCUCCCUGAGACUUUAGGUCUCCUGAAGGAACGUUGAAGACGACGACGUUGAUAGGCCGGGUGUGUAAGCGCAGCGAUGCGUUGAGCUAACCGGUACUAAUGAACCGUGAGGCUUAACCUU